Molecule: long non-coding RNA, 6195 nt
Filed under: Homo sapiens (human)
Lineage: Eukaryota; Metazoa; Chordata; Mammalia; Primates; Hominidae
Description: HSALNT0348364
Source: RNAcentral
CGGAGUUUGCAGCCUCGGAAUUGGCUAGAGCGCCAGAGCCGAGUCAGCCAUAAAGCUACGCGCUAGGCUCUUGGCCCUGACGUGAGGCGCGCAGAGAUGGCGUAACGGGAAUAGUUUUCAACGUCUAUUUCAUUCCCUGCUUCAGAGGACCUCUUUAAUCUUUGAUUUUGGUCCCUGUUUCUAAGAAAAGCAACUGAAAAGGUCGUAAUACCGCCCCUGAGAAAAAAGGAGCAGCGCUAAAUAAUCGAGAAAAUGCCUCCUCUUGAAACGGAUAUAGAGAUGGAAACAAGAUAUAAGAAGGAUUGAGAAUCAUAUAAUACAGGAGCUUAAACACCUAUGCGCGAUGAUAAAGAGGGUACUAUUAGAGCGCUUGGAAAAUACCAGGAAGUUGAGAGAGUUAACAGAAGGGCGCACGCUGGAUUGGCCACAAAAUCGAAUUACUGAAGUAAGUGCAAAACGACAAAUUGUCACAGAAUACAGAGAAAAGGGGAAAAGAAAUUAAGAGGAGAAAAAGAGAGAUCUAGAGGGCCGGUCCAGGAGAUACAAUCUAUGCAUAAUAGGAAUACCUGAAACUGAGGACAGAGCAAGUGGAGCUGAAACAAUAAAGGAUCUACUUGAAAAAAUUUUCCAGAAUUGAAGAACGAACUAGAUCUACAAAUGGAAAAGGCUCAUAGGAUACCUUUAAAGUUUAAUGAAAAGAAAGCAGCAUCUAGACAUAUCCGGGUGACGUUUUUGAAUUUCAAAGACGAAACAUUUUACAAGCAUCCAGUCAGAGAAAGCAGGUUACUUACAAAGGGGCAAAAGUCAGGCUGACCUCAGAUUUUUCUCCUGCAAUUCUAAAUGCCAGAAGACAGUGGAACAAUAUCUAGAGUGUUAAGGGAAAAUAAUUUUGAGCCAAGAAUUAUAUACUCUGCCAAGUUAUCAUUUCUUUACAAAGGAAACUGGAAGACAUUCUUAGAUAUACAGGGGUUAGGAAAGUAUAUCAACCAAGAACUUUCCCUGAAAAUUUUGCUGAAGGAUUUACUGCAGCUAACAGAGAACCUGAAUUAAAAUAAGAAUAGGGAGGCAAUUGUAUGAAAGAACUGAUGGUAUGCAUUAAAACUAGUUAAGGAGCAUUAAGUUUAAAUUGUUAUGUAUAGGGCAUUAAAACUAAAUACAAAAAUAGAAACAUAAGCUGGGUGUAAAAUUUCAGUUUACGUUUAAACUGGAAGGGCAUACCACAUGUUCAAUAUAUUGGACAAAUACUGUUUUAUUUUUAGCAUGUAGUAUUGUAGAUACAAAUACGCAUGUUCUUAAGCUAAACCUAAGUAAAAGGGCUUUGUCACUGUAGAUUUGACAAAUAACAUUCUAAAUGUCAAAUCUGACAAUUGGAAAACAGUACAGUUUUAUUUCCCUUAUUUUUAAGUAUAGCAGGAAAAAAAUAACAAGUUUGUCCAUGUUACUACUGAUACUGUAAAGAAACUUCCAAAUCACUGGUUUGGGAGGGGGUGGAUACAUCCUCAUUUUCUGUACAUGAUGCAUGGGGAAAAACAGUAGUUACUGCAUCAUAUAGUUCCAAGUAAAUCAUAUAGUUCCAAGUAAAUUUGACAUGGAAAUAAGUGUUAACUACAAAAAUAGAAUAUAUACAUUCCAAUGUUUGGAAAAGAAGUGGUAAAAAGAAAAAUAGCAAAAAGACACUAAAAUUAGCAAAAAGUAGAUUGACAGUACAGAUGACCUAUAAACUGGUUAAAUAGCCCUAUUACAAUUGAAAUUGGGUCAAAAAUCAAUCUCUAACCUGAGAUACAUUUGUAUAAAACAAAUGAUCAAAGAGUUUAAAGAUAAUGGAAACUAUAAAUCAUAGAAAUGGCAACAUUUUUCUUAAAAUCUAAACAUAAGACAUUUUAUGUAAAACAUACAAUAUAGGAUGUAACAUUUAACAAACUAUAUGGUAAAUAAUAUGACAUUAAUAUAUAAAAUAUAUGUUCCAGAUCUUGAUGUGGGUGAUAGUUUUACUUAUGUACAUCGAUAUACAUCUAUUUAAAAACAUGUACAUUUAAAUUGUUGCAUUUUAUGUAUUUAAAAUUUAUUGAGUAAUCCUUCUGUAUGUAUUAUUAAAGAGAAUAUAGCAAAAAAAUAUGUUGGACUAUGACUUCAACAUUUAUGAUUUCUUUUUUUAGAGACAAGAGGGUCUUGCUUUGUAGCCUAGGGUGGAAUGCAGUGGCAACAUCAUAGCUCACUGCAGUCUCCCAACUCCUAGGCUCAAGUAAUCCUCCUGCCUCGGCCUCCCAAAGCACUAAGAUUACAAAUGUGAGCCACCAACCCAGCGCAGUUACAGCUUUUGAUAAAUCAAGUAAAUGGGAAGUUAAGAGAUAAAAGGGCCACUACUGAUUAGGACACUUAUGGAGAACGUGGGUAGCACUGAAGCAGCAUUCUAGUUUCCAGUGCCAUCAACCUCAUACGUAUCUACCUGGUCUCUGAUCGAAGCUACCGUAAUGUGUUCUUGAGGUCAACAUGUUUUGUGGAAGUCACUGUAUUUGCCCCUUUAUGUCAAUUACCUAUUAUAAACCGAGAGAAAUGGGAAAAUUAAAAACCUGUUUUGAAUUAUUUUUAAUGCAGAACUAUUUUUUCAAGUGAAAUCUUAUACAGAAGUCUGGUAUAUGAAACAGAUAAAAAUGAACCAAUGAGAUUGAAGGGAAUGAGUAGCAUGUAAUCCUGCCCACUCUUCGGAGAAUUUGAGGCAACUUUGUAGAGCCUUAGGAGUUCAGUUUGUAUGUUACUGGGUAAUUUAAAGCAGAAAUUUUAAUCUGACUGCACUUAAGAAUCAUCUGAAGUGUUUGUAUUGGUUAGUCUUAUUUUUAAUACUGAUGUCCUGGUCUCUCUCCCCUCAAAAAAACUCUGCUGCUGGGACCAAGCACAUAGAUGCUUUUUAAAAAGCUCCCGAAAAUGACUCUAAUAUGCAGCCAGGAUUGAAAAUAACUACCCUACACAGCAUUUUUCCUGAUUCUGAGCACUCAGCUUUUCAUUGAUUUUCCCUAGGGCAAGUCCUUCAUCUUAUUCUGGGUCCUUGUGUUUUCUUUCUGAACCUACAAUUUCUCCAUAGGUCCCAUGGUUUUCAAAAUUUCUCAUUUUCCAUUUUCUGUCCUUUUAUAUUACCUACUUGAAAACCACAGUCAUCUUUCAAAACAAAACACUGCCUGUUUCUUAGGUCUUUAUUGUGGGCUUGUUAUUCCUCAAUACAAAUUUACAUAAAAUAAUAACAAUUAAGACAUGGGCCUUGGUGUCAGAAUUAUUUUAUAUCUUUCUUAUUAACUCUGCAGCUUACCAGCUCUGGAUAAGUUAAAGGACAGCUAUAGUCUUACUACAUAGAAUCAUUAUAAGGAAUUGGUGGAGUGAUCCUUAUAAAGUGUUUGCAUGGUACCUAGCACAGAGAAAGUGCUUGAAGUUGUUAACUGUUAUGGUUACAAAAUAUGUAAAUAAUUUUUAUUGUCCAAUUUUCUCUCUUCAUAUACACUAAAUUGUUCUAAUUCUUGAACCACAGUAACAACGUGUGAAUGACUUAUGCAUUCAGUGUGUCCACUCAACUACUAUUUAUUAAGUACCUGUUAUGGUCUAUGAAAGGAACUGGCAAGACAGUCAUUAUUCCCCUUAAAUAUUCCCAAGUGUUAGUGGUCAAAGUUUCUCUCUGCUGAAAAUGAAAAGUACCCCGUAGGAUGGAGGAAACAGCCAUCUUGAGGGCUAAAUCUGGUCUAACAUAAUAUUUGUUGACCUGUUACUACAGUGUUGCCACAUAUGCUUUGUUGGUUUUUUAAUUUAGCCCCCAAACAUUUUAAAAAUCAGAUCAUUUCAUGUUAAAAGAAAUCUAGACUUCUAGUUCUCUUGCAAAUGUGAGCUCUGACAAACAUUGAAAUUAUAGAGUAGCAGGGGUAGUGUGCCCUUUAUUUGGUGCAUGUCUUCUGCAGGUUCCCAAGUUCUGCUGUUCUCUGUUGUUGCCUCAUCACUGAGGCCAAAUGUCAGUUGCUGCUUACAUGCAUUUGAACAGUUGUUAUUUUUUAUAGUGAAAUUAAAGGUAAACUGUUUUGAUAUCCAUGUUUCUACCAAAGGUAAGAAAACACAAGCCAAAAAGACACAGAUUUCAAAAAAAAUAAGAGAAAGCAUAAUUCUUUAUGGAAGUGAAGAAUAGUCUUUUUAUCUAAGUAUGCCAAAAAAAGCAUGUAUAAAAAAAUACAAUUUAAGAUGCCAUUAUGAAAAAACUCCAAGUCAGUGUUUACUAACAUCUUUUCAGUUUUAGGAAGGAGGCAGGUUGUCUUGCAUCUCAUUGGAUCUCCGGUACUACCUAUUUCUUGAAAUACCAUAAGUGCUAAUAUAUACUUGCAAUAGAUAAACAUGAGGAGUAUUACAAAUACAAGAGAUAGCAGGAACUAUUUUAAUAUUAAGAGAUAUCAAAUAUGCACGCUAGGAUUAAUAAAUGAAAUAAUUAUUUUCCUUCUUCUACAAUAUUUACUUAAUCUGGAGGCAGAAAUACAUGUUGUCUCUCUUCCUGCUUCUCCAUCAAAAUCCCGACCAAGUAAUCAGGAUCUUUGAGAAUCACAAUAAGAAUUACAGCCUCAUGUUUGGAUUUUUUAAAUUUAAAUUUUAAAUUACUCCUUUCCACUGAUAUUUAUUGAGAAACUGCUAUGCUCCAGGUACUGCGAUAAACACUGGGCAAAUGUUGGAGAGCUAAAAAGGCAUAUUCCUCUUAUAAAGACAUUAUUUACUUGUAACAAACAAGUAAAUAAAUGUAUUAGUCAAUAUGUAAGUAAACAAAAAAAUGGACAAGCACAAAUUAUAUUAAGUACUAUGUAGGAAACCAAUAGAGUACUGUAACAGAAUAAUAAGGUAUAUGGGAUGGGGGUGGGAAUCUGUUCAGAGAUGAUCUACCUGAGAAGGUAACAUGUAGGCAGAGAUCUGAAUCGUGAGGAGUCAGCCUUUCAGAGUAAGUGGAGUAGGCACUUCCAAGAGAAAAGCAUAUUCCUGGCUAUUUGCCUAUCAAUGUCAUCUUGAACAAGGGUUAGCAAUCUCCUACCUGUACCACAGAUGCUAUGUGCCACCUCCAUGCUACCUUUGCCACCAAGAGAUUCAAUGUGAUGCAUGAUUUGAAGGUUCCUCAUCCUGAUACCCUGUGGAAAGUAAAAUCAGUGACAAAUAAAAGCAGAUCAUUAUCUCAGGUAGAGUCUGCUAAAGAUGAUACUUGCUUGUCAGUACAUGAGUAUCCACCCUAGUAAAAAACCACAGAAGAAGUGGGAUUUAUCUUCAAUGUUCUCUCACUUCCCCUUCCAAGUGCCUCUCCUGCCUUCUGAUGCUCUUUCCCACAAGUUGCAGGCAAAUAAAGCAUGUAUAUUACUCUCUUUUUAUCCAGAGUUGCUCCUUGUCCUUAUAUGAAGUAGAUUCCAGACCUCACAAUUGUAUAUGCCUACCCUUCUACUCCAACCCCUCAAAAAAAGAGGAAGAAUGAAAGAAUGAACAAGAGAAAAGGAAGGAAGAGAGGGAGAGAGGAAAGGAGGGAAGGAUGGUCCUGAAGAUCACAGUUCGGUGCUGAAAAAAGCAUUUCUAUUAAACUUCAAGACAGAAUGAAUGACCAUAGCUAAUAAUGUACCUUAAGCUUUUCUAGAAUCUUUGUAUUAAAAAAGUUGAUUGUUACUAAAUGUAUUUUAAUCUCAUAAAAUUUUAGGAAUUUAAAUGAAGAAUUUCACAAAGGGUAAGAAAAAUUAUAUAUUAUAUUUAUAAAUUUGUCAUUAUGAUUCUCCCAUUGUGGAAAAAAAAACAAAAUCUCGGUACCCCAAUUCACAAAGCCAAAAGGAAGAAAGUAAGCUGAACGCUGAGUCAUGCAAGAAACUGCUCGCUUUUGUUCCUAAGCUAAUAGCUACAGAUAAAAGGUCAGAUAUCUCCAUAGGUAGGUACUCUAUGUUCACCUUAUGUAAAGUGCCAAUUUAUUGAGCGUAAGAGGAUUACCUAAUUGACUAUUCCCCAGCCUGCUCCUUUUCUCUUGCAACACAUGGAGUCAGCAAUGGGACCAUAUCCUCUCUCUUUCCCCUCCAGCCUGCUUUCCCCCUUUAAAUACUGAAGCCCUCAAAAUCAUCUUUCUAAAAAGGUAUGAACCAUAGAUUGUUCCUGUGGAUUUGUGUUUCUUUCUUCCGGGCAUAUCCUUAAGCUUGGCAAAAUAAAAUUCUAAAUUGAUUG